Molecule: ribosomal RNA, 408 nt
Filed under: uncultured bacterium
Lineage: Bacteria
Description: partial 16S ribosomal RNA
Rfam family: Bacterial small subunit ribosomal RNA
Source: RNAcentral
AGUGAACGCUGGCGGCGUGCCUAAUACAUGCAAGUCGAACGUAGUGGCUCACGUUUGUCUAAUUUAUAGCUAAUCUUCCCUACACUACAGCACAACAGUUGGACACUACUUCUAAUACUCUUUAGUUUAGGAUUAGGCUAUAUUGUAUCAGUUAGUUGGUGAGGUAAUGGCUCACCAAGGUUAUGACGCAUAACUGGUCUGGGAGGAUGAUCAGUCAUACUGGAACUGAGACUAGGCCCGGACUCCUACGGGAGGCAGCAGUAGAGAAUAUUGCUCAAUGGGGGUAACCCUGAAGCAGCUACCCCGCGUGGAGGAUGACAAUUUUCGGAGCGUAUACUCCUUUUGUUAGGGAAGCGGUAGCAAAAGAAUAAGGACCGGCUAACUCCUUACCAGCCGCCGCGGUAAUUC